Molecule: ribosomal RNA, 380 nt
Filed under: uncultured soil bacterium
Lineage: Bacteria
Description: bacterial SSU rRNA
Rfam family: Bacterial small subunit ribosomal RNA
Source: RNAcentral
AGAUUGAACGCUAGCGGGAUGCUUUACACAUGCAAGUCGAACGGCAGCGCGGACUUCGGUCUGGCGGCGAGUGGCGAACGGGUGAGUAAUAUAUCGGAACGUGCCCAGUAGCGGGGGAUAACUACGCGAAAGCGUGGCUAAUACCGCAUACGCCCUACGGGGGAAAGGGGGGGAUCGCAAGACCUCUCACUAUUGGAGCGGCCGAUAUCAGAUUAGCUAGUUGGUGAGGUAAAGGCUCACCAAGGCGACGAUCUGUAGCUGGUUUGAGAGGACGACCAGCCACACUGGGACUGAGACACGGCCCAGACUCCUACGGGAGGCAGCAGUGGGGAAUUUUGGACAAGUGGGGGAAACCCUGAUCCAGCCAUCCCGCGUGUGCG